GACACCGUAGCAAAGUGGUUACUGCGACAGAUUCGAAUCUUGGAUGUAUUCUCUGGCUAUCUGUUCCUCUUUGAGGGCGUAGGUUCGAAUCCUGCCGGUGUCG
Phellopilus nigrolimitatus is the source of this 103-nucleotide non-coding RNA. Lineage: Eukaryota; Fungi; Basidiomycota; Agaricomycetes; Hymenochaetales; Hymenochaetaceae. The record is from the annotation of a GenBank genome assembly.